Molecule: unclassified non-coding RNA, 222 nt
Filed under: Hevea brasiliensis (rubber tree)
Lineage: Eukaryota; Viridiplantae; Streptophyta; Magnoliopsida; Malpighiales; Euphorbiaceae
Source: RNAcentral
CCUCUACAGCUUGUUAAAUUGGUAGGAAUUUUGUGUUACUUCGUGAUUUGAGCUAUCGGGUUAUUUUAAUUCGAUAAUGGGUGACGAGGUGGUUGUUGGGAUUUUGUUGAAAGGUGAAGCAAGUUAAGGAGGAGCUGAAGAGAGAUGAAAAGGCGGUUGAAUUGCCAAUGGAGGUCAGGCGGAAGAUAACUGAUGAGGUUUUGCAGCGGUUGAGAAGCUUGA